This 254-nucleotide ribosomal RNA is filed under the name uncultured bacterium. Its description in RNAcentral is "partial 16S ribosomal RNA". It matches the Rfam family "Bacterial small subunit ribosomal RNA", at positions 524 to 776 of the family's 1533-position model. The record is from RNAcentral.
UACGUAGGGUGCAAGCGUUGUCCGGAAUUAUUGGGCGUAAAGAGCUCGUAGGCGGUUCGGCAAGUCAGCUGUGAAAUCUCCACGCUCAACGUGGAGGGGUCAGCUGAUACUGCUGUGACUCGAGUCCGGUAGGGGAGUGUGGAAUUCCCGGUGUAGCGGUGAAAUGCGCAGAUAUCGGGAGGAACACCAGUAGCGAAGGCGGCACUCUGGGCCGGUACUGACGCUGAGGAGCGAAAGCUAGGGGAGCGAACAGG